Molecule: transfer RNA, 72 nt
Filed under: Cyanophage S-RIM50
Lineage: Duplodnaviria; Heunggongvirae; Uroviricota; Caudoviricetes; Pantevenvirales; Kyanoviridae
Rfam family: tRNA
About the family: Transfer RNA (tRNA) molecules are approximately 80 nucleotides in length. Their secondary structure includes four short double-helical elements and three loops (D, anti-codon, and T loops).
Source: Rfam by way of RNAcentral
GGGCGAUUAACUCAGCGGUAGAGUGCCUCCUUUACACGGAGUAGGUCGGGGGUUCGAAUCCCUCAUCGCCCA